AUUAAAAAACUCAUAUAUACCCUGAAUAUGGCGGGGAGUAUCUACCGGGAACCUUAAAUUCUCGACUAUGAGUGAUAUUAAUAU
RNAcentral lists this non-coding RNA (84 nucleotides) under uncultured Clostridium sp. RNAcentral describes it as "Purine riboswitch". It matches the Rfam family "Purine riboswitch aptamer", at positions 11 to 98 of the family's 102-position model. Rfam says of the family: Riboswitches are metabolite binding domains within certain messenger RNAs that serve as precision sensors for their corresponding targets. Lineage: Bacteria; Bacillati; Bacillota; Clostridia; Eubacteriales; Clostridiaceae. The record is from RNAcentral.